Molecule: long non-coding RNA, 376 nt
Filed under: Phascolarctos cinereus (koala)
Lineage: Eukaryota; Metazoa; Chordata; Mammalia; Diprotodontia; Phascolarctidae
Description: lncRNA (ENSPCIG00000013806.2)
Source: RNAcentral
AAACUACAGAGCAGGAAGUAAAGAUCCUGGUAUCUCCUUCUCUUCCUCUUUCUGCUGCACCAGAGGAAGAAGGGGGACCAAUCCCCAAUGAAAUCUUCAUCAAAGAUGUUCCUGCUACCUUUUCUCCAUGGGCAGUCAUUGCAGUGAUUCUGGGGAUCUUUAGCUUAUUGUUGAUGAUAACAUCUGGAUUCUUUGGUUACCAAUGAAACUAUUCUGCACCUUGUCUGAAACACUGGAAACAGUACAAAGAUAAUUGCUACCACCAAACUCUCAAGGCUGUGUCUUGGUUUAACUGUUCUAAUCUUUGUGUCUCCAUGAAUUCUACAUUUUUACAAUCAGGAAAUGAUAUGCUAGUGGUAAGGAGGAUGCCUUUUCA